UUUUAUCUCACUUUUGUACUUGCAAACUUAUGGUGUGCAGUCGAAUCCUCGAAUGCCACUUGAGGGAUGCCACAGCUACGCUGCAAAUGGCAGAUCAACAGUUAUCUCCUUUGUUGGAUGCGGAAUCUAGUGUAGGACUACAUCCACAUGAAAGUGAUGACGAAGAUGAAAUGACUUCAUCUUGUCUCCGAGAACCCGAGGUGACAGAUUAUGCUGUCUUGAUUGGAUCGUAUAUAGUAUGGUGAAGCAGGAUUGUACAAUGCAGGAUAAGAUUGUUAAAUCUCUAAAUCUCAAGACAACAUCCGAAGAACUAGAGAGCUAUUCCCUGAUGUGGACGUUGUGACCUUACAUCAACGAUCAAACUAUGCAGCUAGCUUGGAAGCUUGUUCCUUGAGACAUGUCUCUGUUUUGUAAGAACCCAAAAUUUGUUUUGU
Molecule: long non-coding RNA, 434 nt
Organism: Hibiscus syriacus
Lineage: Eukaryota; Viridiplantae; Streptophyta; Magnoliopsida; Malvales; Malvaceae
Exons: 3
Source: RefSeq, a predicted model, not a curated record